RNAcentral lists this ribosomal RNA (253 nucleotides) under uncultured bacterium. RNAcentral's name for it is "partial 16S ribosomal RNA". It matches the Rfam family "Bacterial small subunit ribosomal RNA", at positions 524 to 776 of the family's 1533-position model. The record is from RNAcentral.
GACAGAGGUUGCAAACGUUGUUCGGAAUUACUGGGCAUAAAGCGCACGUAGGCGGUCCACUAAGUCAGGUGUGAAAUCCCCCGGCUCAACCGGGGAAUUGCGCCUGAUACUGGCGGGCUCGAGAUCGGUAGGGGUGAGCGGAACUCCAGGUGGAGCGGUGAAAUGCGUAGAUAUCUGGAGGAACACCGGUGGCGAAAGCGGCUCACUGGAUCGACACUGACGCUGAGGUGCGAAAGCUAGGGUAGCAAACGGG